AAUUUGAAAUCUGGCUCUUUCAGAGUCCGAGUUGUAAUUUGAAGAAGGUAUCUUUGGGUCUGGCUCUUGUCUAUGUUUCUUGGAACAGAACGUCACAGAGGGUGAGAAUCCCGUGCGAUGAGAUGAUCCAGGCCUAUGUAAAGUUCCUUCGAAGAGUCGAGUUGUUUGGGAAUGCAGCUCUAAGUGGGUGGUAAAUUCCAUCUAAAGCUAAAUAUUGGCGAGAGACCGAUAGCGAACAAGUACAGUGAUGGAAAGAUGAAAAGAACUUUGAAAAGAGAGUGAAAAAGUACGUGAAAUGUUGAAAGGGAAGGGCUUGAGAUCAGACUUGGUAUUUUGUAUGUUACUUCUUCGGGGGUGGCCUCUACAGUUUAUCGGGCUCAGCAUCAGUUUGGGCGGUAGGAGAAUUGCGUUGGAAUGUGGCACGCCUUCGGUUGUGUGUUAUAGCCUUCGUCGAUACUGCCAGCCUAGACUGAGGACUGCGGUUUAUACCUAGGAUGUUGG
This 501-nucleotide ribosomal RNA is filed under the name Candida tropicalis. RNAcentral's name for it is "eukaryotic LSU rRNA". It matches the Rfam family "Eukaryotic large subunit ribosomal RNA", at positions 112 to 629 of the family's 3401-position model. Lineage: Eukaryota; Fungi; Ascomycota; Pichiomycetes; Serinales; Debaryomycetaceae. The record is from RNAcentral.